This 71-nucleotide transfer RNA is filed under the name Camelus bactrianus (Bactrian camel). It matches the Rfam family "tRNA". From Rfam's summary of the family: Transfer RNA (tRNA) molecules are approximately 80 nucleotides in length. Lineage: Eukaryota; Metazoa; Chordata; Mammalia; Artiodactyla; Camelidae. RNAcentral also lists the same sequence under 1 other name. The record is from Rfam by way of RNAcentral.
GAGGGUGUAACUCAGAGGUAGAGCACCUGCUUAGCAUGCACGAGGUUCUGGGUUCAAUCCCCAGUCCCUCC